Gasterosteus aculeatus aculeatus (three-spined stickleback) is the source of this 614-nucleotide long non-coding RNA. The record is from Ensembl. Lineage: Eukaryota; Metazoa; Chordata; Actinopteri; Perciformes; Gasterosteidae.
CAAAACACAGCGUGGAGGAGACGACUGCGAGCGAGACAUUUACAAACCAACUUAUGGAUCCAGCGCGUGGAAACAUUUUGGCUUUUGCAAACACGUCGGUCGCUGUUUGUAGAAUAUGUAGAAGCCAAAUAAAAAACCACGGAAACACGACGAAUCUUUCCGGCCAUCUACUAAGGCGCCGUGGGAUGAAACAACGCCGACAGUCAGGACCUCUAGCAGCGUCACCGCUGCAGCAGCAGCAGGUUGAGGUCACCCUCCACACAAAAGAAUAAAAACUACAAGUCCCAGACAGAAAGAAACAUCAAUGCACACAAACUGAUCCAAUUAUGUUCACUGCAGAAAAACAGGAUAAUUCACAUGCAUUUUCGAAUGAAAACAAAACACAUAAAUAUCACAUGAACAUGUGACACUGAAGGACGGAUGGUUUGAGUUAAGGAAGGAAGGGGGACCUGGCUGUGGGGGUUGGGAGCACGAUCCCAGACCAUAAAACCUGGCAGCCGCCCUCCUGCAUUGUUCGCCACCACCAUUCCGGCCCAGUUUCUCUGUUUUCUCCCUGGGCUCCGUGUAUCCUGUCCUUCAAGAGGCAGUAAAUGUUGUUGUUGUUCAUAAGACAC